RNAcentral lists this ribosomal RNA (58 nucleotides) under Mycena sp. 2 RV-2015. RNAcentral's name for it is "partial 28S ribosomal RNA". It matches the Rfam family "Eukaryotic large subunit ribosomal RNA", at positions 1 to 57 of the family's 3401-position model. The record is from RNAcentral. Lineage: Eukaryota; Fungi; Basidiomycota; Agaricomycetes; Agaricales; Mycenaceae.
UUGACCUCAAAUCMGGUAGGACUACCCGCUGAACUUAAGCAUAUCAAUAAGCGGAGGA